This 497-nucleotide ribosomal RNA is filed under the name uncultured bacterium. Its description in RNAcentral is "partial 16S ribosomal RNA". It matches the Rfam family "Bacterial small subunit ribosomal RNA", at positions 28 to 523 of the family's 1533-position model. The record is from RNAcentral.
GAUGAACGCUAGCUACAGGCUUAACACAUGCAAGUCGAGGGGUAGCAGGGUAGCAAUACCGCUGACGACCGGCGCACGGGUGAGUAACACGUAUCCAACCUACCGUUUACUCGGGGAUAGCCUUUCGAAAGAAAGAUUACUACCCGAUAGUAUAAAGAGUUCGCAUGUUCUCUUUAUUAAAGGAAUCCGGUAAAUGAUGGGGGUGCGUUCCAUUAGAUUGUGGGCGGGGUAACGGCCCACCAAGUCUUCGAUGGUUAGGGGUGCUGAGAGGAAGGUGCCGCACAUAGGAACAGAGACAAGGCCCAAAAUCGUACGGGAGGCAGCAGUGAUGAAUAUUGGUCAAUGAGCGUUAGCCUGAACCAGCCAAGUAGCGUGGAGGAUGACUGCCCUAUGGAUUGUAAACUUCUUUGAGAAGGGAAUAAAACGGGGAACGUGUUCCCCUUUGCAUGUACCUUACGAAUAAGGAUCGGCUAACUCCGUGCCAGCCGCCGCAGUAA